GUGUCUUUUCCUUGUCUCCUGCUGCCAGCGUGGGCGUUGGGGCGCUGGAGGUAUCCCAUGUGGUGGCAUCGGGCCAUACCAGUCGCUGAUGUGUGUCAUGGGGAGGUCUAAUGCCCUCUGGAAUACUGGGACAUCCUGUAUGGUGUGGAUGCUGUGUUGGUUGCCGUUACUCGUGGUGCUUAAAGCAAAUGGAAAUCCCCACCUGUAUCUGAUGUUCCUCACCCUCAGCUGGUCCGUGAUGGAUUUCAGUGAGCGUCUGGCUUGUAGUGUGAGCCAGGAGAGGUCUGGAUAUAUACUGAUUGGGUCACUGUGAAACAGCAGCGGCUGGUUGGAAUUUCGUAAUGCUGCCAGGAUAUCUUCUUUGCACCUGUAAUAAUGCAGCCUGCAUAUUACAUCCCUG
Molecule: non-coding RNA, 400 nt
Organism: Pelobates cultripes (western spadefoot toad)
Lineage: Eukaryota; Metazoa; Chordata; Amphibia; Anura; Pelobatidae
Source: the annotation of a GenBank genome assembly